Zeugodacus cucurbitae (melon fly) is the source of this 462-nucleotide long non-coding RNA. RefSeq lists it as uncharacterized. The record is from RefSeq and is a predicted model, not a curated record. NCBI's taxonomy places the organism in Eukaryota, Metazoa, Arthropoda, Insecta, Diptera, Tephritidae. The transcript is spliced from 2 exons.
GUGUUGGUUGCAUUUGGAAAAUGAGUUUUUCGCUGAUGUUGCUGCUGACGUGGCUGCUGCUGCAAGUGUCGUUUGCUGCCCUUGCAUUUGUCAUGGCCGAUGGAACCUGCCGCAAACACAAACGAGAAGAGAAGCAAAAGAGAACGACAAAAUACAAGCUGAAGUAGCGUUAAACCUGAAAAACGCUAUCAGCCCCCAAGUGAACCCUGUCAGAGGCAAAGUCAAGUGCAAAGUUGUGGUUUAGACCACGAAGGCUGGCAGAAAAUUUUCGGCAAAUAAAUACAUAAAUAAUCACAAUUCACAGUGAAAACUUUCGUAGGCGAUGCAUCUUGCAGACAUGAGAUGAAUUACUUAUUACAUAACCUCAAAUGGCGAACAGUAAAUUUUUUGAAAAAAUUUUUUUUGUGCAUUAAUUUCGAAUUCAAGUGUAAGAGUUAAUAAAAUUGUACGGUAAAUGAAGUA